This 504-nucleotide ribosomal RNA is filed under the name Triticum aestivum (bread wheat). Its description in RNAcentral is "partial small subunit ribosomal RNA". The record is from RNAcentral. Lineage: Eukaryota; Viridiplantae; Streptophyta; Magnoliopsida; Poales; Poaceae.
AUGUAGAAGACAUGCAAGGUUCCUAAUCCUGAAUAUAUGGCGGUAGAUGAUGAUAUACCUAUAGAGGAUCUGUCUACACCUACAAACAAAAGGAAGAAAUGUGAUGAAACAACGGCUACAACAGAUGGUGAUGCAGCAGAUGAUGAAGUCCUUAUCAAUCUUAUAAGGAAAAGGGCCAGAACAACUCCACGGAAGCCGAAGGCACCUGAAAAGUUCAAUACACCAGCCAAGAAGAAGACACCUGUGAAGAUAGCUACGGUAGAAGAGAAGAUCAUGAAAAAGACUCCUGUGAAGAAAGCUACAACACAACAGAAAACCAAAAAGAAGACCCCCGUGAAGAAAGUUGCAUCACAAGAGAAAGCCAAGAAGAAGACAUCUAAAGGGAAGAAAGUCAAGAAGAAUGUUCCAUUUGCGCCUGUUAUACCUCCACCUCCACCUCCACCUCCAGAAAGGCAGCCUACAAAUGAUGCAAAAAGAAGCCUUCUUUAUUGGCUUGGUGGCUAG